CAGCAGCCGCGGUAAUACAGAGGAUGCAAGCGUUAUCCGGAAUGAUUGGGCGUAAAGCGUCUGUAGGUGGCUUUUCAAGUCCGCCGUCAAAUCCCAGGGCUCAACCCUGGACAGGCGGUGGAAACUACCAAGCUAGAGUACGGUAGGGGCAGAGGGAAUUUCCGGUGGAGCGGUGAAAUGCGUUGAGAUCGAAAAGAACACCAACGACGAAAGCACUCUGCUGGGUCGACACUGACACUGAGAGACGAAAGCUAGGGGAGCAAAUGGGAUUAGAGACCCCCGUAGUCCCUGUCUCUUAUAA
This 301-nucleotide ribosomal RNA is filed under the name uncultured bacterium. Its description in RNAcentral is "partial 16S ribosomal RNA". It matches the Rfam family "Bacterial small subunit ribosomal RNA", at positions 509 to 809 of the family's 1533-position model. The record is from RNAcentral.